ACACUUCUGAAGAAGGAGGCCCGCCUCAAACCCAGCUCUUUUAUAGAAAGGGCCAUGUUUGCUGGACUUUGAUUGGCUGGGCAGUUAAUUGAGAAGGUGGGGACAACAGUAUAUAGGGAGACUGUUGGCUGAGCCAAGAAGAAGAAGAGGGAGAAAGCUUGAGAGUCUGAAGCAGAGCGCUUGAAAGCUAAGAGACUGUUGGGAAAGAUGUCAUUUUGUCUUGUCCGUGAGCUAUUCUGUGCUGAAGGAGGCCUAAUAAACCACCUUUGUUUAUGCUACAGCCAACUUUGAGGAGUUUUCCUUCUACACCACACCUCUCAGUGUAACACC
Molecule: long non-coding RNA, 330 nt
Organism: Poecilia latipinna (sailfin molly)
Lineage: Eukaryota; Metazoa; Chordata; Actinopteri; Cyprinodontiformes; Poeciliidae
Exons: 3
Source: RefSeq, a predicted model, not a curated record